CAGCCGCCGCGGUAAUACCGGCGGCCCGAGUGGCGGCCACUAUUAUUGGGCCUAAAGCGUCCGUAGCCGGGCUGGUAAGUCCUCCGGGAAAUCUGGUCGCUUAACGAUCAGACUUCCGGAGGAUACUGCUGGCCUAGGGACCGGGAGAGGCCGAGGGUAUUCCCGGGGUAGGGGUGAAAUCCUGUAAUCCCGGGAGGACCACCUGUGGCGAAGGCGCUCGGCUGGAACGGGUCCGACGGGGAGGGACGAAGGCCAGGGGAGCGAACCGGAUUAGAUACCCGGGUAGUCCUGGCGGUAAACGAUGCGGACUAGGUGUCGGGCAAGCUAAGGGCUUGUCCGGUGCCGCAGGGAAGCCGUUAAGUCCGCCGCCUGGGGAGUACGGCCGCAAGGCUGAAACUUAAAGGAAUUGGCGGG
This 414-nucleotide ribosomal RNA is filed under the name uncultured microorganism. RNAcentral describes it as "bacterial SSU rRNA". It matches the Rfam family "Archaeal small subunit ribosomal RNA", at positions 459 to 872 of the family's 1478-position model. The record is from RNAcentral.